CCCACGUAGUUAGCUACAAGCACUCCGCCAUUACACAUUAACUAGCUAGCUUUGUGCUGCUCAGUCAGUGUUGGGCAAGUCUGUGGUCAAAUGCAACGUUCUUUCAACUCACCCGCCGUUUUGCGUUCCACCAAAUGACAUUAAUCUUCUAUUUGGUUGAAUUUCUCUUUGCGUAAAAACACUAACGUUAAUACUGACUCCGCCAGACUUUCAAUAUUGUCCAGACAGUGGAGUACUGCAAGAGCUUUCACUCUAUGCGAUAUCGUUCCCACUUCCUGUUUUUUGGGGGAAAGGACCGGUGCUGUGUUGGAUUUUGCUUCCCUCACACAGAUUAUUUUUCUUCAAUCAUGUGCGACGCUAGGGGACGCAGUGAGCAGGCCGCGUCUCACCGGAUGAUGCAGUCCUGUGGCUGCCUGCUAUCAUCGUUUUCCUGCCACCCCAGUGUUGAGUACACUGGUGGUCUAUCCAUCAUCAGAGGUUCUACUGAUGCCGACUCUGACCGUGGAGCCUUCAGGACGACAGGUGUACACUGAGGACACAGUCACCUUGGCAUGUCAGUUACCUGGCCACUCUGGGCUGGGCUGGCAGUUCUACUGGCACAAAGACAGGCAGGACACUGGCCCUGUGGAGCAGAUGUGGGGCAGUGGUGGAGGUGGGGCGGUCUACCAAAUGUGGCGUGCCUCUGUCACACACACAGGCCAGUACUGGUGCAGAGCAGGGAGAGGACAGCCAGUCUUCUACACCCAAUACAGCCAGGCAGUCUCUGUUAAUGUCAUUGAGCUCUUCACAUCAGUGACUUUGUCAGCAUUUCCUUCGACCGUGGUCAAAGAGGGCGGGGCUUUCAACCUCACCUGUGAGGCCCAGUUUAGCAACUGCAAGCUGAGCCAACAUCAUGGUAACCACAGUCUACAUAGUCACCCUGAUCCUAACUGGACCACAGUGGUUGUAACAUUCUCCUUCCUGAGGGACGGCUGGCCAGUUGCCAGGGACUCUGUCAGUGGGAUGUACAGCGUAGCGAGGGCUUCUAGCUGUCACAUGGGGACCUACAGCUGUGUGGCCAGAGCAGGCAGGGCCAGGAGGAGCAGUCAGGAGAUCAGCAUCACACUAGACAGUGAGUUCAUACUACAUCACCUGAACGUUUAGUUUGCCAAUUGCUAUAGGCUUUCAUUCCUGGUCUGAAAUCAUCUAUUAUUAUUUUUUUACCUUUAUUUAACUAGGCAAGUCAGUUAAGAACAAAUUCUUAUUUUCAAUGACGGCCUAGGAACAGGUUAACUGCCUGUUCAGGGGCAGAACGACAGACUUGUACCUUGUCAGCUCGGGGAUUUGAACUUGCAACCUUUCGGUUACUAGUCCAACACUCUAACCACUAGGCCACCCUUAUUGUGGUGCCAAAACUGGCACUCUUUACCGUUCACUUUGUAUCCUGAUCUCUCUCAUGCUGCCUUCAUCCAGACCUGUCUCUGAUACUGGUCACCUGCUUUGGCACCUUCCUGAUCCUCUCCGUGGCUCCAUUGGCAUUUUUUGUGAGACUAUACGCGAUGAGAUGUAAGUGGCAGCAUAGUGGAUCUUAGUCUGACUCUUGAGUCUCUGGGACUGAGUCAGUUCAACACCUAUCUCUUCUCUUUGUGUGACCAUGCAGUAUGGCAGCUCAGAGGCAGAGGACAAGGAGAAUUGCAGUGCAAUUCACAUGCUGUGAGAACUCAUGUAGUUCACAUGGCUGUAUUAGUGCACAGGUGUAGGAUCUUAAUUUCAUCACCCUGUUGCAUGUUUUUUACUCAAAAGAUUAAAACAGAUGUUUUAUUGUAAUCUUGCAGAUGUAUCUGGACCCAGCUGACUUGAGAAACUUUCUAUCAUUUAUUACAAAAUUGGAGUAUAGAAUAAUAAACAUAUAAUUAUUUGAAGAAUUUUGACCAAAGAAUGUUUUUGUUUUAUUUUCACCACACCCAAAUAAUACAUUGAUUCAACACUGCCACAUGCCUGCAUUGUCAAAUAGAGCCAACUCUUUUCUCAUAACAGGUUCCAUAUUUUGUACAGAAAUAACUGCCCACCACCAGUUGAUUAAAAGUGAGUGUGAGUGAAUCUCAACAGUGUAAGGCAAACGAUAAUAUGUUUGCCCUUAUGUUCCAUUUAUUGGUGAAUUGUUAGAGCUAAAGGAUUGUAUGAUGAAUGAGCCAAGAUCUGAGAAUUGCAUUCUGUCUCCAUAUAAACUCACAAAAAGAGAAACGUCCCUUUUUCAGUACCCUGUCUUUCAAAGAUAAUUCGUAAAAUCCAAAUAACUUCACAGAUCUUCAUUAUAAAGGGUUUAAACACUGUUUCCCAUGCUUGUUCAAUGAACCAUAAACAAUUAAUGCACAUGCACCUGUGGAACGGUUGUUAAGACACUAAAAGCUUACAGACGGUAGGCAAUUAAGGUCACAGUUAUGAAAACUUACCACACUAAAGAGGCCUUUCUACUGACUCUGAAAAAC
Molecule: long non-coding RNA, 2468 nt
Organism: Oncorhynchus tshawytscha (Chinook salmon)
Lineage: Eukaryota; Metazoa; Chordata; Actinopteri; Salmoniformes; Salmonidae
Source: Ensembl